RNAcentral lists this ribosomal RNA (274 nucleotides) under uncultured bacterium. RNAcentral's name for it is "partial 16S ribosomal RNA". It matches the Rfam family "Bacterial small subunit ribosomal RNA", at positions 523 to 796 of the family's 1533-position model. The record is from RNAcentral.
AUACGGAGGGUGCAAGCGUUACUCGGAAUCACUGGGCGUAAAGCGCGCGCAGGCGGGCUGAUAAGUUGGAUGUGAAAGCCUACGGCUCAACCGUCGAACUGCAUCCAAAACUGUCAGUCUAGAGUGUGGGAGAGGAAGAUGGAAUUAGUUGUGUAGGGGUAAAAUCCGUAGAGAUAACUAGGAAUACCAAAAGCGAAGGCAAUCUUCUGGAACACUACUGACGCUGAGGCGUGAAAGCGUGGGGAGCAAACAGGAUUAGAAACCCCGGUAGUCC